Molecule: ribosomal RNA, 406 nt
Filed under: uncultured bacterium
Lineage: Bacteria
Description: partial 16S ribosomal RNA
Rfam family: Bacterial small subunit ribosomal RNA
Source: RNAcentral
AUUGAACGCUGGCGGCAGGCCUAACACAUGCAAGUCGAGUGAGCGGCGGACGGGUGAGUAAUGUCUGGGAAACUGCCUGAUGGAGGGGGCUAACUACUGGAAACGGUAGCUAAUACCGCAUACCAUCAGAUGUGCCCAGAUGUGAUUAGCUAGUAGGUGGGGUAACGGCUGCCCUAGGCGACGAUCCCUAGCUGGUCUGCAGGGAUGACCAGCGACACGGAAACUGAGACACGGUCCAGACUCCUACGGGAGGCAGCAGUGGGGAAAAUUGCACAAUGGGGGCAAGCCUGGUGAAGCCAUGCCGCGUGUGUGAAGAAGGCCUUCAGGUUGUAAAGCACUUUCAGCGGGGAGGAGUUACCCGCAGAAGAAGCACCGGCUAACUCCGUGCCAGCAGCCGCGGUAAUUC